RNAcentral lists this ribosomal RNA (253 nucleotides) under uncultured bacterium. RNAcentral's name for it is "partial 16S ribosomal RNA". It matches the Rfam family "Bacterial small subunit ribosomal RNA", at positions 524 to 776 of the family's 1533-position model. The record is from RNAcentral.
GACGAACCGUGCGAACGUUGUUCGGAAUCACUGGGCUUAAAGGGCGCGUAGGCGGCCCGCUAAGUCGAACGUGAAAUCCCCGAGCUCAACUCGGGAACUGCGUCCGAUACUGGUGGGCUUGAAUCCGGGAGAGGGAUGCGGAAUUCCAGGUGUAGCGGUGAAAUGCGUAGAUAUCUGGAGGAACACCGGUGGCGAAGGCGGCAUCCUGGACCGGCAUUGACGCUGAUGCGCGAAAGCCAGGGGAGCAAACGGG